Molecule: ribosomal RNA, 484 nt
Filed under: uncultured bacterium
Lineage: Bacteria
Description: partial 16S ribosomal RNA
Rfam family: Bacterial small subunit ribosomal RNA
Source: RNAcentral
GACGAACGCUGGCGGCGUGCUUAACACAUGCAAGUCGAACGAUGAAGCUGGAGCUUGCUCCGGUGGAUUAGUGGUGAACGGGUGAGUAACACGUGAGUAAUCUGCCCUUGACUCUGGGAUAACUGCGGAAAACUGUAGCUAAUACCGGAUACGACACCUUCGGGCAUCCGAUGGGUGUGGAAAGAAUUUCGGUCAAGGAUGAACUCGCGGCCUAUCAGCUAGGUGGUGAGGUAAUGGCUCACCAAGGCGACGACGGGUAGCCGGCCUGAGAGGGUGACCGGCCACACUGGGACUGAGACACGGCCCAGACUCCUACGGGAGGCAGCAGUGGGGAAUAUUGCACAAUGGGCGAAAGCCUGAUGCAGCAACGCCGCGUGAGGGAUGAAGGCCUUCGGGUUGUAAACCUCUUUUAGUUGGGAAGAAGCGAAAGUGACGGUACCAACAGAAAAAGCACCGGCUAACUACGUGCCAGCCGCCGCCGUAA